GACAGUUCUCUGGUGGUGCACCCCAGAAUCAGGCUCCCGCCUCUCUGGUUCCGGGUGUGUCACCCAAGAACUGCA
Myotis davidii is the source of this 75-nucleotide non-coding RNA. Lineage: Eukaryota; Metazoa; Chordata; Mammalia; Chiroptera; Vespertilionidae. The record is from Rfam.